Molecule: transfer RNA, 99 nt
Filed under: Blastocatellia bacterium
Lineage: Bacteria; Pseudomonadati; Acidobacteriota; Blastocatellia
Description: tRNA-Sec
Rfam family: Selenocysteine transfer RNA
Source: RNAcentral
GGAGGCGCAUUCGGUCUGGUGACCGGCGCGGCCUUCAAAGCCGUUGAGCCGGGGUGAGAGCUUCGGCGGGUCGGGUUCGAUUCCCACACGCCUCCGCCA